UACGUAGGGGGCAAGCGUUGUCCGGAUUUAUUGGGCGUAAAGAGCGUGUAGGCGGCCAGGUAGGUCGGUUGUGAAAACUGGAGGCUCAACCUUCAGACGUCGACCGAAACCAUCUGGCUAGAGUCCGGAAGAGGAGAGUGGAAUUCCUGGUGUAGCGGUGGAAUGCGCAGAUAUCAGGAAGAACACCCGUGGCGAAGGCGGCUCUCUGGGACGGUACUGACGCUGAGACGCGAAAGCGUGGGGAGCGAACAGG
Molecule: ribosomal RNA, 253 nt
Filed under: uncultured bacterium
Lineage: Bacteria
Also listed under: 1 other name
Description: partial 16S ribosomal RNA
Rfam family: Bacterial small subunit ribosomal RNA
Source: RNAcentral